CUGGCUGAGCUGUCAAAAAACAGAGCAGUCCUGCGACAAACAUGACAGUUGGGAGGAUGCAGUGUCACGGGGUCGUUGUUCAAGCUGCAGUUUAAGCAUCCCGUUUGGAAAUAAAAAUUGGCCUCUGCUGUUUAUCUUCCACUCUGACUUCUAGACUGCUGCUCGGUUGUUGGCAUGUUUGGCCAUAAUGGUGUUUGUAUCCAGCAAAGCUCCUGUACAGAAAGAAAAGAAGUUGGAGGAUAUGGCACCAUCUUGGAUUUAAUUUGCCUGUAUGCUUCUUCGCCGGGUGCUAUAAAACAAUGUCAAUUGGAGACACGCAUCUUUCUUUUUCCUUUAGCCAUGAGGGGGCCCUCUGCGAGGAAGGUUUUUGAUGUGCAUGUGCCAGUGGGUGCACUGAGUAUACAGCCUUAUUGCCAUGAUGGAGGUGCCCAGAAUGACCAUUAUAAACAGAAUCUCCAUCCUGUUACCCAGUGUAAGAAUGCUUGGUGCAGGAGCCAUGCCCGCUGG
Xenopus laevis (African clawed frog) is the source of this 507-nucleotide long non-coding RNA. RefSeq lists it as uncharacterized. The transcript has 5 exons. NCBI's taxonomy places the organism in Eukaryota, Metazoa, Chordata, Amphibia, Anura, Pipidae. The record is from RefSeq and is a predicted model, not a curated record.